RNAcentral lists this ribosomal RNA (496 nucleotides) under uncultured bacterium. RNAcentral's name for it is "partial 16S ribosomal RNA". It matches the Rfam family "Bacterial small subunit ribosomal RNA", at positions 28 to 507 of the family's 1533-position model. The record is from RNAcentral.
GACGAACGCUGGCGGCGUGCCUAAUACAUGCAAGUUGAGCGAUGAAGAUUGGUGCUUGCACCAAUUUGAAGAGCAGCGAACGGGUGAGUAACGCGUGGGGAAUCUGCCUUUGAGCGGGGGACAACAUUUGGAAACGAAUGCUAAUACCGCAUAACAACUUUAAACAUAAGUUUUAAGUUUGAAAGAUGCAAUUGCAUCACUCAAAGAUGAUCCCGCGUUGCAUUAGCUAGUUGGUGAGGUAAAGGCUCACCAAGGCGAUGAUACAUAGCCGACCUGAGAGGGUGAUCGGCCACAUUGGGACUGAGACACGGCCCAAACUCCUACGGGAGGCAGCAGUAGGGAAUCUUCGGCAAUGGACGAAAGUCUGACCGAGCAACGCCGCGUGAGUGAAGAAGGUUUUCGGAUCGUAAAACUCUGUUGGUAGAGAAGAACGUUGGUGAGAGUGGAAAGCUCAUCAAGUGACGUAACUACCCAGAAAGGGACGGCUAACUACGUG